RNAcentral lists this ribosomal RNA (321 nucleotides) under uncultured eukaryote. Its description in RNAcentral is "partial 18S ribosomal RNA". It matches the Rfam family "Eukaryotic small subunit ribosomal RNA", at positions 1470 to 1796 of the family's 1831-position model. The record is from RNAcentral.
CCCUUAGAUGUUCUGGGCUGCACGCGCGCUACACUGAAGCGUUCAACGAGUAUUCACCUUGCCCGGGAGGGUUGGGUAAUCUUUUGAAAACGCUUCGUGAUGGGGAUAGAUUAUUGCAAUUAUUAAUCUUCAACGAGGAAUUCCUAGUAAGCGCGAGUCAUCAGCUCGUGCUGAUUACGUCCCUGCCCUUUGUACACACCGCCCGUCGCACCUACCGAUUGAAUGGUCCGGUGAAAUCUCGGGACGGCGGCUCGGUCGCUUGCGUCCGACUGCUGAAACUUGAUUAAACCAUAUCAUUUAGAGGAAGGUGAAGUCGUAACA